This 301-nucleotide ribosomal RNA is filed under the name uncultured bacterium. Its description in RNAcentral is "partial 16S ribosomal RNA". It matches the Rfam family "Bacterial small subunit ribosomal RNA", at positions 509 to 807 of the family's 1533-position model. The record is from RNAcentral.
CAGUCGCCGCGGUAAGACAGAGGAUGCAAGCGUUAUCCGGAAUGAUUGGGCGUAAAGCGUCUGUAGGUGGCUUUUCAAGUCCGCCGUCAAAUCCUAGGGCUCAACCCUGGACAGGCGGUGGAAACUACCAAGCUGGAGUACGGUAGGGGCAGAGAGAAUUUCCGGUGGAGCGGUGAAAUGCGUAGAUAUUUGUAGGAAUGCCGAUGGGGAAGCCAGCUUACUGGACAGAUACUGACGCUGAAGCGCGAAAGCGUGGGUAGCAAACAGGAUUAGAUACCCCCGUAGUCCCUGUCUCUUAUAC